GGUCAUUCCCCUUCCCUUCUUAAUCCCUAAUUCCCUUCCCUAUCAGUUCUUAUUUCUUAAAAAAGAAAACUAAGUGUCGCACAUCACCUCCAUGACUCCACCAGUAACCUUUAGCGCCGCUGCCCAUCCUGCUCUAGCCCAUCAGCAUUGCUUUUUGUGUCCUGCUUCUUUUUGCUAUUGUUGCUUCCUCUAGUUUUCUUAGUAUAUAUGUCGUCCCACAGUUCAUGUAUUUUGUUAUUCUAUUUUUCUUAUUAUUGUUUUCCAUUGCUGGUUCCACUGUCAAUUUUGGGGUAUUUUAUGCACAAAGAUCAAAUUAUGUUUAAGAUUAAAUUUUCAAUUGUUAUUUUAUUUUUCUUAUUAUUGUUUUCUUAAAUUUGAAGCUAAAAAUUCCUUAUUGUGGAGGAAACUGGAAACUAGGAUAAAAAUUCCGUUGAAUGUGUUUUUAAUCAUAAAAGUAUGUGG
Molecule: long non-coding RNA, 462 nt
Filed under: Gossypium barbadense (sea-island cotton)
Lineage: Eukaryota; Viridiplantae; Streptophyta; Magnoliopsida; Malvales; Malvaceae
Description: long non-coding RNA (GBAR_LNC018462)
Source: RNAcentral